This 570-nucleotide ribosomal RNA is filed under the name uncultured bacterium. RNAcentral's name for it is "bacterial SSU rRNA". It matches the Rfam family "Bacterial small subunit ribosomal RNA", at positions 28 to 591 of the family's 1533-position model. The record is from RNAcentral.
GAUGAACGCUGGCGGCAGGCUUAAUACAUGCAAGUUGAACGGUAACAUUUUGUAGCAAUACAGAGAUGACGAGUAGCGUACGGGUGCGUAACACGCGUGCAACCUACCUUAUACAGGAACAAAACGUUGAGAAAUUAGCGCUAAUAUUCCAUAAUAUUAUUGAUAGGCAUCUAUUUAUAAUUAAAGCUCAGGUGGUAUAAGAUGGGCACGCGUUCCAUUAGCUAGUUGGUAAGGUAACGGCUUACCAAGGCAACGAUGGAUAGGGGUUCUGAGAGGAUACACCCCCACACUGGAACUGAGACACGGUCCAGACUCCUACGGGAGGCAGCAGUAAGGAAUAUUGGGCAAUGGAGGCAACUCUGACCCAGCCAUGCCGCGUGCAGGAAGACAGUCUUAUGGAUUGUAAACUGCUUUUAAUAGGGAAUAAUUUCGAUUAUGUAUAGUUGAUUGCAGGUACCUAUAGAAUCAGCAUCGGCUAACUCCGUGCCAGCAGCCGCGGUAAUACGGAGGAUGCAAGCGUUAUCCGGAUUUAUUGGGUUUAAAGGGUGCGCAGGCGGACUAAUAAGUCAG